Molecule: long non-coding RNA, 534 nt
Organism: Carassius auratus (goldfish)
Lineage: Eukaryota; Metazoa; Chordata; Actinopteri; Cypriniformes; Cyprinidae
Exons: 4
Source: RefSeq, a predicted model, not a curated record
UUGACCAGUUAUGUCAGGAAGCUGCAAUUAUUUCAAAGGAUCUUAAAAUGAAAGCUGACAAUGCUGAACUUGAAGCAGCUACCAGGGAGGCUGAACAAAUUCUACAAACGUUCAAUCCUCCACUGCCGAAAAAGAAGACCAAACGAGCCAGUGGCACUCUUCUCAAGCCGGUCUGUUUUGUGGAGAGGGAUGAGUAUGGGCAUCAUUGUGCCUAAACGGAGAAAGCCAAUAUCUAUCAAUAUCUACUUAUAUCAAUUGCACAGUGUAUUCUAGCACCUCAUACCAUUUUCUCCCUUUGAUAAUGUGUAGCAUCAUCAUUUGUCUGUACUGUAUAUUUCUAAUAAUCUCUAAUAAAUCUCUAUUUGUAGCUACAAAGAUCAACAAUCCAGUCAGUACAUCAUCUUUGGAGUCUGGGCAAGGAUACAUUGAUCAUGGUGAAAGACCAUCACUGUCUGCUCGCACUGUUUGGUCAGCUGUUGAAGAUAUAGAAACUCUUCAUCAAGAGGUAGAGAAUCUGCUAGCUGUGAAGACAUU